CACGGGGGGAACGCGAAGAACCUUACCAGGGUUUGACAUCCCGCGCUAAACCCAGAGAUGGGUGGUCCCCGCAAGGGGCGCGGAGACAGGUGCUGCAUGGCUGUCGUCAGCUCGUGUCGUGAGAUGUUGGGUUAAGUCCCGCAACGAGCGCAACCCUUAUCCUAUGUUGCCAGCGCGUAAUGGCGGGGACUCGUGGGAGACUGCCGGGGUCAACUCGGAGGAAGGUGGGGACGACGUCAAGUCAUCAUGCCCCUUAUGUCCAGGGCUGCAAACAUGCUACAAUGGCCGGUACAAAGGGCUGCGAGACCGCGAGGUUGAGCGAAUCCCAUAAAGCCGGUCUCAGUUCGGAUUGAAGUCAGCAACUCGACUUCAUGAAGCUGGAGUCGCUAGUAAUCCCGGAUCAGCAACGCCGGGGUGAAUACGUUCCCGGGUCUUGUACACACGC
This 445-nucleotide ribosomal RNA is filed under the name uncultured soil bacterium. RNAcentral describes it as "bacterial SSU rRNA". It matches the Rfam family "Bacterial small subunit ribosomal RNA", at positions 950 to 1393 of the family's 1533-position model. The record is from RNAcentral.